GGCGCACGGUGGAUGCCUUGGCACUAGGAGCCGAUGAAGGACGGGACUAACACCGAUAUGCUUUGGGGAGCUGUACGUAAGCUAUGAUCCAGAGAUUUCCGAAUGGGGGAACCCAACAUCUUUAAUAGGAUGUUACGAUUGUGUGAAUACAUAGCACAUUCGAGGUAGACGCAGAGAACUGAAACAUCUAAGUACCUGCAGGAAGAGAAAGAAAAUUCGAUUCCCUGAGUAGCGGCGAGCGAAACGGGAAAAGCCCAAACCAGCAAGCUUGCUUGUUGGGGUUGUAGGACUCCAAUAUGGUAGUUCUUUCAGAUAGUCGAAUGACUUGGAAAAGUCAGUCAAAGAGGGUAAAAACCCCGUAGACGAAAUGUGGAAGACACCUAGGAGGAUCCUGAGUACGGCGGAACACGAGAAAUUCCGUCGGAAUCCGGGAGGACCAUCUCCCAAGGCUAAAUACUCCCUAGUGACCGAUAGUGAACCAGUACCGUGAGGGAAAGGUGAAAAGCACCCCGGAAGGGGAGUGAAAUAGAACCUGAAACCGUGUGCCUACAACAAGUCAAAGCCCGUUAAUGGGUGAUGGCGUGCCUUUUGUAGAAUGAACCGGCGAGUUACGAUUGCAUGCGAGGUUAAGUUGAAGAGACGGAGCCGCAGCGAAAGCGAGUCUGAAUAGGGCGUUUGAGUAUGUAGUCGUAGACCCGAAACCAUGUGAUCUACCCAUGUCCAGGUUGAAGGUGCGGUAAAACGCACUGGAGGACCGAACCCACGUACGUUGAAAAGUGCGGGGAUGAGGUGUGGGUAGCGGAGAAAUUCCAAACGAACUUGGAGAUAGCUGGUUCUCUCCGAAAUAGCUUUAGGGCUAGCCUCGGAAUUGAGAAUGAUGGAGGUAGAGCACUGUUUGGACUAGGGGCCCAUCUCGGGUUACCGAAUUCAGAUAAACUCCGAAUGCCAUUCAUUCAUAUCCGGGAGUCAGACUGUGAGUGAUAAGAUCCAUAGUCGAAAGGGAAACAGCCCAGACCACCAGCUAAGGUCCCAAAAUAUAUGUUAAGUGGAAAAGGAUGUGGGGUUGCACAGACAACUAGGAUGUUGGCUUAGAAGCAGCCACCAUUUAAAGAGUGCGUAAUAGCUCACUAGUCGAGUGACCCUGCGCCGAAAAUGUACCGGGGCUAAACAUAUUACCGAAGCUGUGGAGUACACCUUUAGGUGUAUUGGUAGGAGAGCGUUCUAAGGGCGUUGAAGGCAGAUCGUGAGGACUGCUGGAGCGCUUAGAAGUGAGAAUGCCGGUAUGAGUAGCGAAAGACAGGUGAGAAUCCUGUCCACCGAAUGACUAAGGUUUCCUGGGGAAGGCUCGUCCGCCCAGGGUUAGUCGGGACCUAAGCCGAGGCCGACAGGCGUAGGCGAUGGAUAACAGGUUGAUAUUCCUGUACCCGUUGUUUUUGUUUGAGCAAUGGAGGGACGCAGGAGGCUAAGGAAUGCAGACGAUCGGAAAUGUCUGUCCAAGCAGUAAGUCUGAAGAGGAGUCAAAUGCUUCUUUUCUUAAGGACAAGCUGUGAUGGGGAGGGAAAUAAUAGUACCGAAGUUCCUGAUGUCACACUGCCGAGAAAAGCUUCUAGUGAGAAAACAGCGGCCCGUACCGCAAACCGACACAGGUAGUCGAGGAGAGAAUCCUAAGGUGAGCGAGAGAACUCUCGUUAAGGAACUCGGCAAAAUGACCCCGUAACUUCGGGAGAAGGGGUGCUGAUCAUACGAUCAGCCGCAGUGAAUAGGCCCAAGCGACUGUUUAUCAAAAACACAGGUCUCUGCAAAAUCGUAAGAUGAAGUAUAGGGGCUGACGCCUGCCCGGUGCUGGAAGGUUAAGAGGAGUGCUUAGCGCAAGCGAAGGUACGAAUUGAAGCCCCAGUAAACGGCGGCCGUAACUAUAACGGUCCUAAGGUAGCGAAAUUCCUUGUCGGGUAAGUUCCGACCCGCACGAAAGGCGUAACGAUUUGGGCACUGUCUCAACGAGAGACUCGGUGAAAUUUUAGUACCUGUGAAGAUGCAGGUUACCCGCGACAGGACGGAAAGACCCCAUGGAGCUUUACUGUAGUUUGAUAUUGAGUGUCUGUACCGCAUGUACAGGAUAGGUAGGAGCCGUAGAAAUCGGAACGCUAGUUUCGAUGGAGGCGCUGGUGGGAUACUACCCCUGCGUUAUGGCCACUCUAACCCGCACCACUAAUCGUGGUGGGAGACAGUGUCAGAUGGGCAGUUUGACUGGGGCGGUCGCCUCCUAAAAGGUAACGGAGGCGCCCAAAGGUUCCCUCAGAAUGGUUGGAAAUCAUUCGAAGAGUGUAAAGGCAGAAGGGAGCUUGACUGCGAGACCAACAAGUCGAGCAGGGACGAAAGUCGGGCUUAGUGAUCCGGUGGUUCCGCAUGGAAGGGCCAUCGCUCAACGGAUAAAAGCUACCCUGGGGAUAACAGGCUUAUCUCCCCCAAGAGUCCACAUCGACGGGGAGGUUUGGCACCUCGAUGUCGGCUCGUCGCAUCCUGGGGCUGUAGUCGGUCCCAAGGGUUGGGCUGUUCGCCCAUUAAAGCGGCACGCGAGCUGGGUUCAGAAACGUCGUGAGACAGUUCGGUCCCUAUCCGUCGCGGGCGUUGGAAAUUUGAGAGGAGCUGUCCUUAGUACGAGAGGACCGGGAUGGACUUACCGCUGGUGUACCAGUUGUUCUGCCAAGGGCAUUGCUGGGUAGCUAUGUAGGGAAGGGAUAAACGCUGAAAGCAUCUAAGUGUGAAGCCCACCUCAAGAUGAGAUUUCCCAUUUCUUUAAGAAAGUAAGAUCCCUGAGAGAUGAUCAGGUAGAUAGGUCAGGAGUGGAAGUACAGUGAUGUAUGGAGCGGACUGAUACNA
RNAcentral lists this ribosomal RNA (2880 nucleotides) under Enterococcus faecium. RNAcentral's name for it is "bacterial LSU rRNA". It matches the Rfam family "Bacterial large subunit ribosomal RNA". Lineage: Bacteria; Bacillati; Bacillota; Bacilli; Lactobacillales; Enterococcaceae. The record is from RNAcentral.